GUGGGGAAUAUUGGACAAUGGGCGAAAGCCUGAUCCAGCCAUGCCGCGUGUGUGAAGAAGGUCUUCGGAUUGUAAAGCACUUUAAGUUGGGAGGAAGGGCAGUAAGUUAAUACCUUGCUGUUUUGACGUUACCGACAGAAUAAGCACCGGCUAACUUCGUGCCAGCAGCCGCGGUAAUACGAAGGGUGCAAGCGUUAAUCGGAAUUACUGGGCGUAAAGCGCGCGUAGGUGGUUUUGUAAGUUGGAGGUGAAAUCCCCGGGCUCAACCUGGGAACUGCCUACAAAACUGCAUGACUAGAGUACGGUAGAGGGUAGUGGAAUUUCCUGUGUAGCGGUGAAAUGCGUAGAUAUAGGAAGGAACACCAGUGGCGAAGGCGACUACCUGGACUGAUACUGACACUGAGGUGCGAAAGCGUGGGGAGCAAACAGGAUUAGAAACCCCGGUAGUCC
This 450-nucleotide ribosomal RNA is filed under the name uncultured bacterium. RNAcentral's name for it is "bacterial SSU rRNA". It matches the Rfam family "Bacterial small subunit ribosomal RNA", at positions 354 to 796 of the family's 1533-position model. The record is from RNAcentral.